This 1683-nucleotide non-coding RNA is filed under the name Pongo abelii (Sumatran orangutan). The record is from RNAcentral. Lineage: Eukaryota; Metazoa; Chordata; Mammalia; Primates; Hominidae.
GCACACCACAGAGCUCGGGAGAACCAACAGCGUCUCUGUAUAGCAGGGAGAUGGGCAGAUGGGGGAUCCAGGCUGGGCCAGCCUUGUCCACAGCCCAUAGGAGGGUUGACCAGCCAGAAGGGUGCAUCAGGGGUGCCCAGAGGGUCAGAAGGCCAGGCUGGGGCCCCGAGUCCCAGGGGAGGCCUGGGAAAGCCCCGGGGGAGGCCAUGGUUCCACUCGGUGGCCGGGCCAAGCAGGCUGUGCCCAGCUGGCUCUAGAGCGUGCAGAAGGGGCCUGUGUCGUGGCGCUUGGGUCUGCGCACACCCUGGAUGACCACGCCAGGCGCCGAGGGGAAGCGCCUCCUUACAGGCGCUGAGCCAGGAGGUGAACGCAGGGGAGCGGCUCAUUGAGAAGGCCGGCGAGCGGGGGCUCUGCAGGUGGCUCCCAGGAAGGAUAUUUCAGCUUUCUGCGUGAAGGGGCUUUCGCUCUGGAACCACAAAGUCUGCCAUGCCCUGCGGCCACCGCCCUCUGUAGUUGGAGGAUGGAGAGAGAGAAGGCUGGGAGCCCCACCCAGGUGGCCAUGGGUCCAGUGUUUGCCUCCAUUGAUGUAAAAAUUUGCCAGGAAUUUCACCGCCUUCUGGUCAAAAUUCAUCCUCAGAGUCUCCUGGCUGUCUUCCCCGAGGGCGCCACGGAGCUCUGUGACCUCACUGGUAGGCCCCUCUGUUGCUGGGACUCCUGAGGAAGACACAUUGUCUGGCCCUGGAGGGGCUGCCUCGGGGCCGCGCCCCCACCCCUGGUGGGCCCCUCCCCCACUAACUAGAUGAUCACCAGGUCUGCCUGGGCCGGGACCCCCAGCCUGCCCAGGUGACUCCUGGCCCAGCCCUCUCCCUUCCCCCCUAACUUUUCCACCCUUCUCCCCUCUCCUGCACCCUGGGGUCUCCUGGAAGUCUGGGGUCCACUCUAGCAGGUCUGGGAGGACUGAGGCCUCAGCAGAGGGGGUGGAGCAAACAGGACCCAUGGGCAUCCACCAAGCCCUAGGAGAUGCCCAGCUGUGUCCGGCCAGCCAGGAUCCCCUGGGGGUAGGAGGGAGGGGUCCAGGAAGGCUCCCUGGAGGAAGAGGAGGAGCCGCCACCCCAUCUGGAUUUCCACUUAAGGGAAAAGCAAAGCCACAUCAGAUGGGUCUGACACCAGAGGCAGGUCGGGCCCUGGAGCCCAGCUAGGGCUGUGAUGUGAGGGCCUGCCUCUUACCUGGGGGCACAGAGGCUAGAAGGUGUCACAGAUGGCCGGGCUGUGUGAGCAAGAGCCUGUGUGGGCACCAGGGCCCUCGCUGUGUAGUCUGUGGAGCUGACCACCGGCUGGUCCCAGCCCUGACCUUGGCCCAGAAUCCACCAGGGCAGGGCCUGUGAACAGGGCCAACUUGGAGCCCUCCUCCGCCCUCUCUGGAUGCCUCCCCUUCAGCACUGGGCCCGCCAGGCAGACAGAUGGACACAUGCUUGAGGAAACACAGGUUUUAUCUGGGCGAGGGGUUCACGCCCUGUGCUCCGGGGCCCCUGCCCAGGUCGUGCUGGGUUCAGAGUUGACUGGCUGCCAGUGGAACAGAGUGUACUUUGCUAAUGAAGUCCUUGUCAUUGGACAGAUAGGCCCCUCCAGGUCCUCCCUGCCCUGUAAAAAAUGUUGCCGCUGUGAAUGGUGCUGCUGAACAUC